AGAGUUUGAUCCUGGCUCAGAUUGAACGCUGGCGGCAGGCCUAACACAUGCAAGUCGAGCGGUAACAGGUCCAGCUUGCUGGAUGCUGACGAGCGGCGGACGGGUGAGUAACGCAUAGGAAUCUACCCGGUAGUGGGGGAUAACCUGGGGAAACCCAGGCUAAUACCGCAUACGUCCUACGGGAGAAAGGGGGCUUAGGCUCCCGCUAUUGGAUGAGCCUAUGCCGGAUUAGCUGGUUGGUGAGGUAAUGGCUCACCAAGGCGACGAUCCGUAGCUGGUCUGAGAGGAUGAUCAGCCACAUCGGGACUGAGACACGGCCCGAACUCCUACGGGAGGCAGCAGUGGGGAAUAUUGGACAAUGGGGGCAACCCUGAUCCAGCCAUGCCGCGUGUGUGAAGAAGGCCCUCGGGUUGUAAAGCACUUUCAGCGAGGAAGAACGCCUGUCGGUUAAUACCCGGCAGGAAAGACAUCACUCGCA
This 478-nucleotide ribosomal RNA is filed under the name uncultured bacterium. RNAcentral describes it as "bacterial SSU rRNA". It matches the Rfam family "Bacterial small subunit ribosomal RNA", at positions 8 to 483 of the family's 1533-position model. The record is from RNAcentral.